Molecule: small nucleolar RNA, 72 nt
Filed under: Catagonus wagneri (Chacoan peccary)
Lineage: Eukaryota; Metazoa; Chordata; Mammalia; Artiodactyla; Tayassuidae
Description: Small nucleolar RNA SNORD113/SNORD114 family (ENSCWAG00000005297.1)
Rfam family: Small nucleolar RNA SNORD113/SNORD114 family
About the family: The imprinted human domain at 14q32 contains two clusters of tandemly repeated small nucleolar RNAs named 14q(I) and 14q(II) snoRNAs. These two clusters are named SNORD113 and SNORD114 respectively in the HGNC approved gene symbol nomenclature.
Source: Rfam by way of RNAcentral
UGGAUUGAUGGUGACUACAGGUGACAUAUGAGACACGUAGGAUGAAUAUGUGUCUGCACCUCUGAGGUCCAA